CAGUAGCCGCGGUAAUACGGAGGGUGCAAGCGUUAUCCGGAUUUAUUGGGUUUAAAGGGUCCGUAGGCGGAUCUGUAAGUCAGUGGUGAAAUCUCACAGCUUAACUGUGAAACUGCCAUUGAUACUGCAGGUCUUGAGUAAAUUUGAAGUGGCUGGAAUAAGUAGUGUAGCGGUGAAAUGCAUAGAUAUUACUUAGAACACCAAUUGCGAAGGCAGGUCACUAAGAUUUAACUGACGCUGAUGGACGAAAGCGUGGGGAGCGAACAGGAUUAGAGACCCCCGUAGUCCCUGUCUCUUAUAA
This 301-nucleotide ribosomal RNA is filed under the name uncultured bacterium. RNAcentral's name for it is "partial 16S ribosomal RNA". It matches the Rfam family "Bacterial small subunit ribosomal RNA", at positions 509 to 809 of the family's 1533-position model. The record is from RNAcentral.